This 1300-nucleotide ribosomal RNA is filed under the name Discoplastis gasterosteus. Its description in RNAcentral is "SSU rRNA". It matches the Rfam family "Eukaryotic small subunit ribosomal RNA", at positions 101 to 1072 of the family's 1831-position model. Lineage: Eukaryota; Euglenozoa; Euglenophyceae; Euglenales; Phacaceae. The record is from RNAcentral.
UUACAUCAGCAGUCAUCUCUGUGGUAAAGUGUGGCUAGCACCACCUGCCAGGUGCUCAUUUGGACAUCCACCAAAACCUAGUGGCUAAUACACGCAUGACCUGGUCUGCCAUGUGGACAUCUGCUGGCAACUCUGCUGUCACAUGAUGUGUGGUGGAUUGCACCCAGCCGCUGUGAAGACCAGCGCCUGAAAAUGGCAGUGACCCAUGGUUGACUCAGGCUGGUCCCUCUGUGGACAAUGGCUCUGGCAGAGUGGGGCUUAUCAGCCCACAUCACUUGCUUGACCACACGAACUUCUGACCUAUCAGCUUUGACUGUGGUGUCGUGGACCACAGUGGCAGCUACGGGUAACGGAGAAUCAGGGUUCGAUUCCGGAGAGGGAGCCUGAGAAACGGCUACCACUACCAAGGUGGGCAGCAGGCGCGCAAAUUGCCCAAUGCUAACACAUUUUGGCGAGGCAGCAACGAACUGCAGCAAUUCUGCCUGUCCUCUGAGACCAGCAGAACUUGGAAUGGAUGCUAUCCAAACACAGUGAUGAGAAUCAACUGGAGGGCAAGUCUGGUGCCAGCAGCUGCGGUAAUUCCAGCUCCAAGUGCGUAUACUGACAUUGCUGCUGUUAAAACACUUGUAGUCUGCCGCUGAGUGCAAGUCUGACAGGUGGCCAGCUGUUGCUUGUGGUCCUAGGCUCUCAGCCAAGGGCUGCCUGUGACAGUUGGAUCUCAACCCCUGCCAGUAUGUCUUGCUCUCGACCAAGAUGGUGAGUUCACUCCUGCUCCAAGCCUCCUUCAGUGGAGGCCCAGGCGGCCUUGUGCCAAACGCAUAUGUGGGCUGUGUGAGGUGCACCUCCCUGUGAGUCAUGCCUCAGCCCGCCACAGGAGUUCACUGUCUCAGCUACCCUGGACAACUCAGUGUGCUCAAAGCAUCCUCCAUUGGCUGGAUGUCUCUCCAUGGAACAGCAAAGCAUCGACCAAUUGGGCCUCACAGUUGUGCUGGCCUUGGUGCUCAAUCUGGAGAAUGUGUCAUGGCUCCUGGCUGCUGGCUCCACAGUGCCCCUGUGGCUUCUGUGUCCACUGCCAGUGGGUUAUGGCUGUCGUCCAAGAUGGGAUUGCUCAGGGUGCAAGAUAUGGCAACGCCAGAGGUGAAAUUCUUAGACCGCUGCCAGAUCAACUGCAGCGAAGGCGUUGUGCAGCUGCCUGUCCGUCGAUCAAGAAUGAGAGCGUGGGGAGCAAAGAUGAUCAGACACCGUCGUAGUCCACAGCUGUAAACUAUGCCAGCUUGGUGCUGACUGGGCAAGUCCACGG